Molecule: ribosomal RNA, 268 nt
Filed under: uncultured Alistipes sp.
Lineage: Bacteria; Pseudomonadati; Bacteroidota; Bacteroidia; Bacteroidales; Rikenellaceae
Description: partial 16S ribosomal RNA
Rfam family: Bacterial small subunit ribosomal RNA
Source: RNAcentral
UGGAUAGCAAUAUCUAUGGUGGCGACCGGCGCACGGGUGCGUAACGCGUAUGCAACCUACCUUUAACAGGGGGAUAACACUGAGAAAUUGGUACUAAUACCCCAUAAUAUCAUAGAAGGCAUCUUAGAUGGUUGAAAAUUCCGAUGGUUAGAGAUGGGCAUGCGUUGUAUUAGCUAGUUGGUGGGGUAACGGCUCACCAAGGCGACGAUCAGUAGCCGGACUGAGAGGAUGAACGGCCACACUGGAACUGAGACACGGUCCAGACUCC